ACAGCUCACUGAUGGUAAGAUCUUGGAAAGAGGAAGGUAAGAGAAGGCUGGGCUCCUCUCCAUCGCACGCAUGCGCGAUGCUCUGCUUUUAUCUGGAGGGCAGCGAUGGAGCUUCCGAGAAAGGAAGAAGCUCUUGUGUGCAUGCAUGGUGCUGGAAGCAGUGCAGCCGAGAAGAGCGCGCGCGCGGGCGGUCGCGACCGGACGAAGAGAUCAGACUCCUGGGAACACGUGAAUACUAACUCGUGGGCGGCCCACGGUGGGCCCGAUAUUCCAGUCCACAAACGAAUCGGGCUGAAGAUUGCUACUACUCCUCCGAGCACACACUCGACUGUGUAAGAGCUUUUCUGGCCGCGCGUGUGUGUGUGUGUGUCAGAAGGAUGAAUGACGUGCAGUUUGUGGCACAGUUGUAGGCUUUUAUCGUGCAUCUUUCUGUAACUGUGACGUGCUGAUAAUUCGCAAUGUCUGUGCCUUUGAACUUGAGCUCUCAUUUUAAGGACCGCACUCAGAAACUGGUUUCAUUUGGUGACGUAGAUGUUUGUACCGUGUCUAGCACCACAUGAAAUUAGGGUUCUGGGAGGUGGACUCACACCAUUUUCUCAAUGUCCAGCUGUUGUGAAAUGCGCUAUAUCAAUGAAGUUGUAUGUAUUGUAUUUGUGGGCCGCUCGGGUGGUAAAAGUGCGCGGUGGCGAUUCAGUGCCUCACCAGAUCCAGCAGAUGGCGCUGUUUCAUAUUCAUGCGGAGGAGCGGGUCAAAUGCAAAACUCGAUGUGAAUAAAGUUGUCUUAAUCCUAAACGGU
Long non-coding RNA from Syngnathus acus (greater pipefish), 796 nucleotides. RefSeq lists it as uncharacterized. NCBI's taxonomy places the organism in Eukaryota, Metazoa, Chordata, Actinopteri, Syngnathiformes, Syngnathidae. The transcript has 2 exons. The record is from RefSeq and is a predicted model, not a curated record.